AUUGAACGCUGGCGGCAUGCUUUACACAUGCAAGUCGAACGGUAACAGGCCGCAAGGUGCGGACGAGUGGCGAACGGGCGAGUAAUGCAUCGGAACGUGCCCAGUCGUGGGGGAUAACUACUCGAAAGAGAAGCUAAUACCGCAUACGAUCUAUGGAUGAAAGCGGGGGACGGUAAGGCCUCGCGCGAUUGGAGCGGCCGAUGUCAGAUUAGGUAGUUGGUGGGGGAAAGGCACACCAAGCCAACGAUCUGGACCUGGUCUGAGAGGACGACCGGCCACACUGGGACUGAGACACGGCCCAGACUCCUACGGGAGGCAGCAGUGGGGAAUUUUGGACAAUGGGCGCAAGCCUGAUCCAGCAAUGCCGCGUGCAGGAAGAAGGCCUUCGGGUUGUAAACUGCUUUUGUACGGAACGAAACGGCUCUGGUUAAUACCCGGGGCUAAUGACGGUACCGUAAGAAUAAGCACCGGCUAACUACGUG
RNAcentral lists this ribosomal RNA (482 nucleotides) under uncultured bacterium. RNAcentral describes it as "partial 16S ribosomal RNA". It matches the Rfam family "Bacterial small subunit ribosomal RNA", at positions 29 to 507 of the family's 1533-position model. The record is from RNAcentral.